RNAcentral lists this ribosomal RNA (464 nucleotides) under Corynebacterium durum. Its description in RNAcentral is "bacterial SSU rRNA". It matches the Rfam family "Bacterial small subunit ribosomal RNA", at positions 28 to 495 of the family's 1533-position model. Lineage: Bacteria; Bacillati; Actinomycetota; Actinomycetes; Mycobacteriales; Corynebacteriaceae. The record is from RNAcentral.
GACGAACGCUGGCGGCGUGCUUAACACAUGCAAGUCGAACGGAAAGGCCCACCACCUUGGUGGUGGGUACUCGAGUGGCGAACGGGUGAGUAACACGUGGGUGAUCUGCCCCGCACUGUGGGAUAAGCCUGGGAAACUGGGUCUAAUACCACAUACGACCAUGGCGUAGGGGUCAUGGUGGAAAGCUUUAUUGCGGUGUGGGAUGAGCCCGCGGCCUAUCAGCUUGUUGGUGGGGUAAUGGCCUACCAAGGCGGCGACGGGUAGCCGGCCUGAGAGGGUGGACGGCCACAUUGGGACUGAGACACAGCCCAGACUCCUACGGGAGGCAGCAGUGGGGAAUAUUGCACAAUGGGCGCAAGCCUGAUGCAGCGACGCCGCGUGGGGGAUGAAGGCCUUCGGGUUGUAAACUCCUUUCGCCCGGGACGAAGCCCACCUGGUGGGUGACGUACCGGAGAAAAGCACCG